UACGUAGGGCGCAAGCGUUGUCCGGAAUUAUUGGGCGUAAAGAGCUCGUAGGCGGUCUGUUACGUCCGCUGUGAAAACCCAGGGCUUAACCCUGGGCUUGCAGUGGAUACGGGCAGACUAGAGGCAGGUAGGGGAGAAUGGAAUUCCCGGUGUAGCGGUGAAAUGCGCAGAUAUCGGGAGGAACACCAGAGGCGAAGGCGGCGACCUGGACAGAUACUGACACUCAACUACGAAAGCGUGGGGAGCAAACAGG
Molecule: ribosomal RNA, 253 nt
Filed under: uncultured bacterium
Lineage: Bacteria
Description: partial 16S ribosomal RNA
Rfam family: Bacterial small subunit ribosomal RNA
Source: RNAcentral